GCCAAGAACAAGCCAUGAGAGUCAAGACAAAGAUCCACCCAGAGGAAAGGUGUUCUUACCAUACAUCAAGGGAACCACUGACUACAUAGGCAAACUGAUGAAGAAGCACAACCUACAAACCUACAAACUAUCUAUAGACCCACAAAGAAAAUCCAACAAAUGCUACGGUCAGCAAAAGACAAGAGGGAUCCUCUCUCCUCUGCAGGAGUCUACCGGAUACCAUGCAGCUGUGGACAAGUAUACAUAGGGUCCACCAAAUGCAGUGCCCAAACAAGAGUCAAAGAACAUGAAAGGCACGGCAGACUAAUUCAACCAGAGAAAUCAGCCAUAGCAGAGCACUUGAUGAACCAGCCUGGACACAGUAUAUUAUUUGAGAACACAGAAAUGCUGCCAGAUUUUGUUCAUUUUCACGGUUUCUUCCUUUCUGUUGAAGUUGUCCACAUGCUUGUGGAUUUCAAUGGCUUCUCUGUGUAGUCUGAAAUGAUUGUUGUUGGAAUGGUCCAGCAUUUCUGUGUUCUCAAAUAAUAUACUGUGUCCAGGCUGGUUCAUCAAGUGCUCUGCUAUGGCUGAUUUCUCUGGUUGAAUUAGUCUGCAAGAUAUGCAAGAUAACUUAAGCACCCUCUUCAAUAUCUUCUUAAGCAUAAAGUCAGGUGAAAGCAAGAGAAAAGAAUAUGAAGAUGCAAGUGAUGGAGUAUAAGAAGAAGGAAAGGGAAAUAUGACGUGGGCCCCUUCCACACAGCUGAACAAAAUCUCACAUUAUCUGCUUUGAAUUGGAAUAUAUGCCAUUGUCGACUCAGAUAAUCCAGUUCAAAGCAGAUUUGUGGGAUUUUCUGCCUUGAUAUUCUGGGUAAUAGGGCUAUGUGGAAGGGUCCUUGGAUUGAGGAGAAGCAGAAGAAGGCAAAGGAAGGUAAGAGAUGUAGUGGCAGAAUGUAAAUAUGCCAAGGCUCAGUAAGGACCUCAUCACACUUACUAAAACAAACAUUCUAAGACACUUUGAGCCUUCUCUAGGGACACAGCCCCACACCAGCCAUCAGAUAACAUUGUGCGACUUCGUGCGAAGGCUCUACCCUCAAUCUUGGAUACUUUCCCCCAACACUGGAGCCUCCUUGUGUUAUACUGGCUCCAAUUGAGCCAGCACAUUUUUGCUCUGUUUGGGCAACACUUUCCCUUUGUGAUAGAAGCAGCAUUGCCACAUCAGAGUGAGUAG
This 1207-nucleotide long non-coding RNA is filed under the name Anolis carolinensis (green anole). Its description in RNAcentral is "lncRNA (ENSACAG00000039958.1)". Lineage: Eukaryota; Metazoa; Chordata; Lepidosauria; Squamata; Anolidae. The record is from RNAcentral.